ACUCGAGUGGCGAACGGGUGAGUAACACGUGGGUGAUCUGCCCUGCACUUCGGGAUAAGCUUGGGAAACUGGGUCUAAUACCGGAUAGGAGCCACCUUUAGUGUGGUGGUUGGAAAGUUUUUCGGUGUAGGAUGAGCUCGCGGCCUAUCAGCUUGUUGGUGGGGUAAUGGCCUACCAAGGCGGCGACGGGUAGCCGGCCUGAGAGGGUGUACGGCCACAUUGGGACUGAGAUACGGCCCAG
RNAcentral lists this ribosomal RNA (241 nucleotides) under uncultured Actinomycetales bacterium. Its description in RNAcentral is "partial 16S ribosomal RNA". It matches the Rfam family "Bacterial small subunit ribosomal RNA", at positions 89 to 334 of the family's 1533-position model. The record is from RNAcentral. Lineage: Bacteria; Bacillati; Actinomycetota; Actinomycetes; Actinomycetales.